GGUUGCACAGGAAGGGUAGAGCCCUGAAAUGUAGAAUCUAUCGGACCACCCGUCAAUUGGCUCACUGCAUUCACCCGGAGUACAUAGGUAGGAUCUGUCGUGUGCCCGUGAUUUCCGAAUACCCAUAAAUCCGUUCCAUCGACAGGGUGAUUCGUGGUGAUUGUUGUUCGGGUGUGUGUUUUGUGAAAAAAAAUUACUCUCUUUCCGACGGCUACAAAUUCGCUAGCAGUUUCCAACCGAAAAGGAUUCGUUAGAGUCGUGCGACCUCAUUCGCCUUUCUUUUUCCUGUCACUUCUGCUAUAGCUCCUGGAGUUGGUGAUUGUUACCCACCACCAUUUCGUCGUCUUGCCCAGUGUUUUAGAACCGCUAGGAAAAUUACAAUAGAAAAGUUCGAAAUCGUAGCGAAUGGUGAGCAGACUGGGAAGUGCAAACGAAAGAAUCCAGUCCGUGCGGAAGAAAAUCCCUCUGCCGCAGUGUAUAGUGCCAUUGGGCUAAGCUUUUCCCACACCCAGUUUUUCGGAAAAAUUGUGUUGAGCAAUGCAGCAGCAGCAGUGAACGGUGGGGUGGGAGAUGGAAGGCCGAAAAAGGUCAACUCCUCGAAAAUCAAAAAUCGCCUGAAACUAGAAUAGUGCAAAACAAGAAAAAGGAUACACGAAAAUCGAGGACGAGUCACAACGUGUGUGUUUGGCACAGAAAGAAAAAAGUGUCGUCACGCCUCGGCACGAAGCUGGCAGAUGUAUAACGAGCAUUCGUUAUUGAGUUCUACGAAGUGAUUGUGUCACGAGAAAAAAAAACAACUAUUGUUCGCAUAUCGGUACGGGAAAGCGAAACACUGCGCGGGGACACAGACCUAUCCAGUGAUAUCAGGGAAUCAACGGCGGGAACGGAUGGCGCCCCCAGUCCAAGGGAUCUGUUAGUUGUGGGUUUGGUUUUUAAAUUAAAAGUUACGACCUUAGCUCAAUUUCUAUGGUGCAGCAAUACACAGCGUAGGAAAGCUCCAUCAUUUCAUCGCAACUAACAACAGCGAAAAAAAGAACAUUCAACCGUGAAUUUGUGCUUUUCGUGUGGUGAGACGAAAUCGAAAAAGAGAGAAGAAAAGUGCUACAAAAUUAAAAGUUAAGGUGGUUCGUAGUGUACAAACGUUUUCGGUUUCAUUCGUCAUUCGGUUUGGAAUUCCUCGGUGUGCGGUAAGAUGGCCUGGGGUUACUGGAGUGCGACAGCCGUCGACCGGGGUCGAUCCCCUCGGCGGAACACCCAACAGUCGCUUCCCUAUCAGAACCACCAGAACCAGAGUUACCAGCAGUAUAGUCUGGUUCAAUCACAACACCAACAGUCGACGCAAUGUCUCAACAGUUGCCCACAGGCAACCGAUCCAUCGCCUCCGCCACUUCCGCCGCAAACGCUAGCACAGCAACAACAACAACAACAACAACCACAACAUCAACAACAAACCUGCAUUAGCCCGUGCCACAGUCCUUGUCACAGUCCGCAGUUCAUCGAGCAAAUACCGCCGGAUCUGCCCUGCACUCCAGUGUGCACGUACUCUCGUAGACAGUCACUUGAUAGUCCACAGGCCAACCAUCUCUCAGAUAUCAUCUGCCGGGCAACGGUUCCGUCGAUUCAAUCGGCCGGAAAUACGUUAACACGGGGAACUUCUUUGCGCGACACUGGUGAUUACGCGGUACCUCAUCCUCAUCCGCACACGCACCACUACAUGACAACCUCGGACACACCGCGGACCCUGAGCCGGGUUGGUUCAUGUCCUGGCUCGACGGGUGGUUCCGGAUCGGCGCACGGGUCCGGAUCCGGGUCUAGUCCGGGCGGUGGUCCCGGGAGUAGUGGGGGUGGUGGUGGUGGACGGGGCAGUAUCGGGGGCAGUGUGGGUAUGAUGUGCGGGGCUAGUCUUCAUGGUGGCAGCCAGGGUGGUGGUUUGGAGUACGUGGAGUGUUCACACUACGAUCGGAUGCCGCUACCGAUUCCGGUUCAGAUACCGAUAGUGCCACCACCACCACCGCAGCUUUGCUCUGAGGAGGAAAUCGAGCCGGCCUAUGCGACAGUUUUCCCAAAUGCUCCGUCGGCUCCCGGGAUGUCCUGCGUCGGAGAGGACCGCAGUAUUUAUCGAAGGGGUGCCAGGAGAUGGCGCAAACUGUACCGGAUUAAUGGGCACAUCUUCCAAGCGAAGCGAUUCAACAGGAAAGCUUUUUGCGCCUUUUGUCAUGACCGCAUCUGGGGUCUCGGCCGGCAGGGUUUCAAAUGCAUCCAGUGUAAGCUACUGGUGCACAAAAAGUGCCACAAACUUGGCAACAAACCGUGCAGCAACGAACAUGUGGAGCCGGUAUUCAAGGAGCGUGACCAUCAGGAUCCGAACGAUGAAUCGAACGCCGGCGAUGUGCUUCAACCCUCGCAGGACUAUCCGCAGGAUUAUCACCACGGCGCGGAACCGUGCGAUCAGGUCCCAGUGGAGGCACCUGAGAACGUAGAGGAACCACUAGAACCUGGCACACAGCGACAAUAUUCUUUGAAUGAUUUCGAACUAAUUCGGGUCAUCGGACGCGGUAGCUACGCUAAGGUACUGAUGGUUGAGUUACGAAAGACGCGCCGAAUCUACGCAAUGAAGGUAAUCAAGAAGGCCCUCGUAACCGACGAUGAAGACAUCGAUUGGGUGCAAACGGAGAAACAUGUCUUCGAGACGGCCUCUAACCAUCCGUUCUUGGUGGGAUUGCAUUCGUGCUUCCAGACGCCUUCCAGGCUCUUCUUCGUGAUCGAGUUCGUUCGGGGAGGUGAUCUGAUGUUUCAUAUGCAGCGUCAGCGACGUCUUCCAGAGGAGCAUGCACGAUUCUACGCGGCCGAAAUCAGUUUGGCGCUGAACUUUCUUCAUGAGAAGGGUAUAAUCUACCGGGACUUGAAACUGGACAAUGUGCUGCUUGAUCACGAGGGUCACAUCAAGCUGACCGAUUACGGCAUGUGUAAAGAAGGCAUUAGACCAGGCGACUCUACGUCGACCUUCUGUGGCACACCGAACUACAUUGCGCCGGAGAUUCUUCGUGGAGAAGAUUAUGGUUUCUCCGUCGAUUGGUGGGCUUUAGGUGUUCUGUUGUAUGAGAUGUUGGCUGGUCGCAGUCCGUUCGACAUCGCCGGUGCCUCCGAAAAUCCCGAUCAGAACACCGAGGACUACUUGUUCCAGGUGAUAUUGGAGCGAACUAUCCGUAUUCCUCGGUCACUCAGUGUGAAAGCGGCUUCCGUGUUGCGAGGUUUCCUGAACAAAAAUCCAGCCGAUCGGCUCGGGUGUAAUCGCGAAUCCGCUUUCAUGGAUAUUGUCAACCAUCCAUUCUUCAAGAGUAUCGACUGGGAGUUGCUUGCUCAAAAAGAGGUCACACCGCCCUACAUUCCAUCGUUCGAUGGGUGCGAUCAGGACAUUACCUGUCACUUUGAUCCCCAGUUUACGCUGGAACCGGCUGAGCUGACUCCGGAUGAUCCUCGCGUUAUAGACAAUAUCGAUCAAAGCGAAUUCGAAGGUUUCGAGUAUGUGAACCCGCUGCUAAUGUCCCUGGAAGACUGCGUUUGACACCACGCAUCCUGCGAGCUGCAUCCGUACAACAUGCAGUUCUAAUAAAACACUAACGAUUCAAGCAGUACCGAGCGGUAACAAUAAUCUCUUAAAAUCUAAGCAACCAGAGAAACUAGUUAUAAUUGACAUAACUAAGUCCGUUGUUUCCAAAUUUUCUGUUUUAGUUUCUGCUAUGAUUUUACACUUUUAACCCUCCGUUUAGAUUGAAAUAGUGUUUAUCAACUUUAGGAUUUGUCUCUGUAACAAAGAAGCCAUUUUCUGUUUGAUUCGAACUCUAAAAUUGUCCAAUGGACGUCAAUAAAUCUAUACGGUGACGAUUCUAGCGAUUACGAUUCUGUUGUGGAUGAACUAAGUAUUCUUCAAUUACCUCCGCCACCAUCAAAAAGUCUACUGCAGCACAUGUUUUGCCUUCCAUUGAACUAAACUACGGAAUGAUGUAGGGAUAGUUAGGAGAAACCGAGCAACAGAGAGAACGAAUAUUUUUGUUUUCCUUUUAAGUUAAAAAUUUCAACUUCAUUAUCAUCUUUUUUUUCUAGUUUUUAUAUAUUUCUUCUUCUACACGACGUAAGUUUGAAAGAACAAAACAAAAUUUUAGUGUAAAAAUCGAUGAAAUUACCAAGGUUAGGACAAGUCUAGUACGAAUUAUAAUUAAGUGGCAAAGCUACGUCAAGGUAGAACGUUUCCAAUAGUUAAAGUUACUUAAUUGACAAUGUACUUAGGACAAGAACGGAAGAGGCAUUAUUUUACUCUUAAACUACAAACAAUGUGAAAACGAUUGCUGAGGGUAGCAACAAGCUUGUCACAUGAUGAUCCGCUAGACGAUGGCCGCAAACGAAUAUUCUACUUUAAACGUAUUGAAAUGGACACAUUUCCAAAUCCAUUGCAUUGCAAAACACGAAGAUAUACCGAAAGAGUGCUUACUUCUUCGAAUGUGAAAACGACAAACUAUUCCAAUUAACGAAAAGAUCUAAAAUUAUAUUAACAACAAUUGCAAGAAAAAAAUCUAAUGCAAAUAAACAUCAAAAAAUUCCUGACUAGACUAAUUGCACCUGCGUUAACAGUUAGUGAAAACAUAAAUUGAUAACAAAAAAAAAAGAGAACAAUGAACUCAGUGAAUGCAGAUUUCCGCAGAGAAUAUGAUCUAAACUGUAUAGUAUCAGAACAGAAGUGAAAAUCACAUUUAUUUAACGAAUACGAGAAAAAAAAAACAAAAAAGCGAGAUUUUAAAGUUUUAAAUAAAACAUUGUGGAAGAUAAUUAACUGAUAAAGUAAACAUACAGAAACACAAAACCAAAACCGAACAGUAGCGGUGUUAGAUAAAGCAUUCAAAUUAUUCCAACCAAAAUUAACAAAAACAAAACGACAGCCACUUUGUCAAAGAAAGCAGGAAAAUGUUUUUUUUUUUUAUAUGCAAUUUAAUUCAUUGAUUCAAUUAAUUGGCGUAAACAAGUAAGAUGUGGAAUGAGUGAUCUAUUGAAAAAAAAAACGCCUGGAAAAAAAUGAAACACACAUUCAGGACUAAUCGUUUAUCGUCAAUAAUUUUCCACUGAAUUUUCGGGAGAAUUGAAGUGCGAAAGAGCAACGAAUUGUUUGAUUGUUUUAGCAUUACAAUGAUCUCUACUGUUAUCAUUGACUUUUUCUUUCAACUAGAUAUAUAUUAAAUGCUCAAGCUCAACCAACCUUUCAGUUCAUUCCAGCAACAGGUUUCGUCCAGAAUAAGAAUUGAUUUAGUGUAUUCAUGAUUACUUAUGGAGUAUUAUUUAGUCUGACGUAGCAGACGCAAAGGUACAUUCAAGUAUUUAAGAAAGCAGUAUGAGGAUAGAUUUUUUUUCUUUUAUGAUCUAAAAUAAAAUUCAACCAGUAUCAUUCGAUUGAAACAAAUGCAUUAAUAUUUCUUUACGCAUUUAGAGUUUGUAUUUAUUUGAGUUAGUUCUAAUGCCGUAACGUAUGUAACAAAGAAAACUUAAUUUCUGUAUACAAGAUUUUCCCCCAGAACAUUCCAUUUCACCCGAUGAGCUUUUCCUCCCAUUUAACGCUAAUUUAACUUUUUAAAGUAAGUUAUUGGUUACUAUGAGACAUUAUUGAAAGAAAAAUAAAACUGAAAUUGAGAUAA
RNA transcript from Malaya genurostris, 5681 nucleotides. It is a transcript of the gene named atypical protein kinase C, with no coding region annotated. NCBI's taxonomy places the organism in Eukaryota, Metazoa, Arthropoda, Insecta, Diptera, Culicidae. The record is from RefSeq and is a predicted model, not a curated record. The transcript is spliced from 16 exons.